UUUUUGUCCCCGGGAGGGGAAAAGAGGACGAGGUAAAGAGAAGUGGUCUAAAUAGGACAGGGGGCAAGGAAGACUGGGGGGCAUGAGGGUCAAAAGUAGUGAAGCUCUUUUGGGGCGCACCGCACUUCCCCCCUCUAGGCCUUUGCAGUCGCCCUCUCCGCCGCGGACACUGGAGAGUUAAGCCAAUAAACACGUAAGCGCCGCUCGCUCCCCAAUCGGCAAGAUGCCUCUCCUGCUCUUGGCUGCAUCGACAGCUUGCAACACUCGGCAUCUUUUCUGGAGGCGCCUUCUUCAGCGGCUGCAGAUGGCAUCCGGCUGCGGGCUCCGGGCUCGCAAUUGAUUCUCGCCCUUGCCCACCUCGGGUGCACACACGCACCUCUCCCUUCUCCUCCUCCCCUCGCGCUCCUGGGUCUGCGCUCAGCUCGCGCUCGCCGGGCGGAGGAAGCAGUCGCGGCGGCCGAAGCUGAGCAGCAGCGCUCGCUCUCCCUGACCUAGGAAGAAGCGCCUACCCGGACAGCCGACCCUUGGCUGCCUCCAGCGCCCCCCACCUUUUGCACCCCAAGGCGGGGGCUCCGGGGACCCCCCUCUCCCAGGCGCUACCAUGCUGGACCCUUCGUCCAGCGAAGAGGAGUCAGAUGAGAUCCUGGAAGAGGAGAGGGGCAAGGAUGUGCUGGGCUCGGCCGCGUCUGGAGCGCGCCUGUCUCCCAGCCGCACCAGCGAGGGCUCGGCAGGCAGCGCCGGGAUGGGGGGCAGUGGCGCCGGGGCCGGGGUGGGCGCCGGCGGCGGUGGGGGUAGCGGCGCGAGCAGCGGCGGCGGGGCCGGGGGGCUGCAGCCCAGCAGCCGCGCCGGCGGCGGCCGGCCUUCCAGCCCUAGCCCGUCGGUGGUGAGCGAGAAGGAGAAGGAAGAGUUGGAGAGGCUGCAGAAGGAGGAGGAAGAGAGGAAGAAGAGGCUGCAGCUGUACGUGUUCGUGAUGCGCUGCAUCGCCUACCCCUUCAACGCCAAGCAGCCCACCGACAUGGCUCGGCGGCAGCAGAAGAUCAGCAAACAGCAGCUACAGACUGUCAAAGACCGGUUCCAGGCUUUUCUCAAUGGGGAGACCCAAAUCGUAGCUGAUGAAGCCUUUAUGAAUGCUGUCCAGAGCUACUAUGAGGUGUUUCUCAAGAGUGACCGUGUGGCCCGCAUGGUGCAGAGUGGGGGCUGCUCAGCCAAUGACUCUCGGGAGGUCUUCAAGAAACACAUCGAGAAGAGGGUGCGCAGCCUACCUGAGAUUGACGGCCUCAGCAAGGAGACAGUGCUAAGCUCUUGGAUGGCCAAGUUUGAUGCCAUCUACCGUGGUGAGGAGGACCCCAGGAAGCAGCAAGCCCGGAUGACAGCCAGUGCAGCUUCUGAGUUGAUUCUGAGCAAGGAACAGCUCUAUGAGAUGUUUCAGAACAUUCUUGGGAUCAAGAAGUUUGAACAUCAACUCCUGUAUAAUGCCUGUCAGCUGGACAAUCCAGAUGAGCAGGCAGCCCAGAUCAGACGAGAGCUGGAUGGACGUCUCCAAAUGGCAGAUCAAAUAGCCAGGGAACGCAAAUUUCCUAAGUUCGUAUCCAAAGAAAUGGAAAACAUGUACAUUGAGGAGCUGAAGUCCUCCGUCAACCUGCUCAUGGCCAACUUGGAGAGCAUGCCGGUGUCCAAGGGUGGAGAGUUCAAGCUACAGAAACUGAAACGCAGUCACAAUGCUUCCAUCAUUGACAUGGGUGAGGAGAGUGAGAACCAGCUUUCUAAGUCAGAUGUCCUGCUGUCCUUCUCCUUGGAGGUGGUGAUCAUGGAAGUCCAAGGCCUUAAGUCCUUGGCUCCAAAUCGAAUUGUAUACUGCACAAUGGAGGUGGAGGGUGGAGAGAAACUUCAGACAGAUCAAGCAGAGGCUUCUAAACCAACCUGGGGCACUCAAGGCGACUUCUCCACAACCCAUGCGCUGCCAGCUGUUAAAGUAAAACUAUUCACAGAGAGCACUGGUGUCCUGGCCUUGGAAGACAAGGAACUCGGGCGGGUGAUCCUCCAUCCCACCCCAAAUAGCCCCAAACAAUCUGAGUGGCACAAAAUGACAGUCUCCAAAAACUGCCCCGAUCAAGACCUCAAAAUCAAACUUGCUGUCCGAAUGGAUAAGCCUCAAAACAUGAAGCACUCUGGGUACUUAUGGACCAUUGGUAAGAAUGUGUGGAAGAGGUGGAAGAAGAGGUUCUUUGUGUUGGUGCAGGUCAGCCAGUACACUUUUGCCAUGUGCAGCUAUCGAGAAAAGAAGGCAGAGCCUCAGGAACUCCUACAGCUGGACGGCUACACCGUGGAUUACACCGACCCUCAGCCAGGUUUGGAGGGUGGCCGAGCCUUCUUCAAUGCAGUCAAAGAAGGAGACACGGUGAUAUUUGCAAGUGAUGAUGAACAAGAUCGAAUUUUGUGGGUCCAAGCUAUGUACAGGGCCACUGGCCAGUCGCACAAACCUGUUCCCCCUACCCAGGUGCAGAAGCUCAACGCCAAGGGCGGAAAUGUGCCUCAGCUGGAUGCCCCCAUCUCACAAUUUUCUGGACUGAAGGACGCAGAUAGAGCUCAGAAGCAUGGCAUGGAUGAAUUUAUCUCUUCCAACCCCUGUAACUUUGACCACGCUUCCCUCUUUGAGAUGGUGCAGCGGCUGACUUUGGAUCACAGACUUAAUGAUUCCUAUUCUUGCCUGGGCUGGUUCAGUCCUGGCCAGGUGUUUGUGUUAGAUGAGUAUUGCGCCAGAAAUGGAGUCCGAGGAUGUCACCGGCAUCUCUGCUACCUUAGAGACUUGCUGGAACGAGCAGAAAAUGGCGCGAUGAUUGACCCCACGCUUCUUCACUACAGCUUUGCCUUCUGCGCGUCCCAUGUCCAUGGUAACAGUCAACAAAUGCAUGUGUAUCUUAGUGGGCUGCUAUCAAACACAGACUUUCAAGGGGGCAAAUCUCCACCUUCUCCUGAACCAGAGAUUAAAAAAGAUUCACGAAGAGAAUCAAAAAAAAGAAAAGAGUCUAAACCUCACCCAAGUCAAGAACAAAAAAGGCCUGAUGGAAUCGGAACUGUGACUGUUGAAGAAAAAGAACGCUUUGAAGAAAUCAAAGAGAGACUCCGAGUUCUGCUGGAAAAUCAAAUUACACAUUUCAGGUACUGCUUUCCAUUUGGUCGACCUGAAGGUGCUUUGAAAGCUACUCUCUCACUCUUGGAACGGGUUUUGAUGAAAGAUAUUGUCACUCCAGUACCACAAGAAGAGGUCAAAACUGUCAUCCGUAAAUGCCUAGAGCAGGCUGCUCUAGUCAACUACUCACGCCUAUCUGAGUAUGCCAAAAUUGAAGGGAAAAAGAGAGAAAUGUAUGAGCAUCCUGUCUUCUGCUUGGCCUCCCAAGUGAUGGAUUUAACCAUUCAGAAUCAAAAGGAUGCAGAAAAUGUAGGCCGCUUAAUCACUCCCGCCAAAAAGCUCGAAGACACAAUCCGUCUUGCUGAACUAGUCAUCGAAGUACUGCAACAAAACGAGGAGCACCACGCCGAGGGGAAAGAGCCACAUGUUGAUAAAGGAGAAGCCUUUGCGUGGUGGUCAGACUUAAUGGUGGAGCAUGCGGAGACGUUCCUGUCACUCUUUGCAGUGGACAUGGAUGCAGCCUUAGAGGUGCAACCCCCAGACACGUGGGACAGUUUCCCACUCUUCCAGCUGCUGAAUGACUUUCUCCGUACAGACUAUAAUUUGUGCAAUGGAAAGUUUCACAAACACCUGCAGGACCUGUUCGCCCCACUUGUUGUUAGAUAUGUGGAUCUGAUGGAGUCCUCCAUUGCACAAUCUAUCCACAGGGGCUUUGAGCGGGAGUCAUGGGAGCCAGUCAAGAGUUUAACCAGUAACCUACCCAAUGUGAACCUACCCAAUGUGAACCUACCCAAAGUACCAAAUCUACCAGUUAACAUCCCUCUAGGCAUCCCACAGAUGCCCACUUUUUCGGCACCGUCAUGGAUGGCUGCUAUAUAUGAUGCUGAUAAUGGAUCAGGUACAUCAGAAGAUUUGUUCUGGAAACUUGAUGCCCUUCAGACUUUCAUCCGUGACCUACACUGGCCUGAGGAAGAGUUUGGAAAACACUUAGAGCAGCGGCUAAAACUGAUGGCAAGUGACAUGAUUGAGUCCUGCGUCAAAAGAACCAGGAUUGCAUUUGAAGUUAAGCUGCAAAAAACCAGUCGAUCAACAGAUUUUCGAGUCCCACAGUCAAUAUGCACCAUGUUUAAUGUUAUGGUUGAUGCCAAAGCUCAAUCAACAAAACUUUGCAGCAUGGAAAUGGGCCAAGAGCAUCAAUACCAUUCAAAAAUAGAUGAACUAAUUGAAGAAACCGUUAAAGAAAUGAUCACACUUUUGGUGGCAAAGUUUGUAACUAUAUUGGAAGGCGUACUGGCAAAGUUAUCCAGAUAUGACGAGGGGACUUUGUUUUCUUCGUUUCUGUCAUUCACGGUGAAGGCAGCUUCCAAGUAUGUGGACGUGCCUAAACCCGGGAUGGACGUGGCCGACGCCUACGUGACUUUCGUCCGCCAUUCUCAGGAUGUCCUUCGUGAUAAGGUCAAUGAGGAGAUGUAUAUAGAAAGGUUAUUUGAUGCUCUUGUGUCUCUGCCGUGUCUGUUAUCCUGCAUCCUGCAUCCUGGUGUGGCUGUGUCUGCAUCCCAGUCUGUGUGAUAUGUGGACGGUACACAGCCUCCCAGCAAGCAGGCACAUUCUGCACGAAGCUGUAGAGGCAGACUCCUUGAACUGGCAAAGGCCUUCUUCCAUCCCCAUUCUCCUCCUUGCAAUCUGGCCGUUUGUAGAGGACAUGUUCCCACUGGUGAUGCUGAGACCAGCACCACCUCUCCUGGGGGUAGUGCCUCCUUGAUGCCAGCUGUGGUAUGCAGAUGUGCAAUAAAUGUCACAUUGUUAUGUCUUCCAACGUGUUAGAACUUCUGUAAAACGAGACAACUUCCAUCCUGGGUGUUGCCAAAGGCUUAUAUGUGAGUCACUUGGUCAGUUCCUUUUGUAAUCCAUGGUGCUUCCUGUCCAUCCACCUACCUCAGUAAGUCCAGUGAAAACCAAAUGCACGGCGGUGCAGGGGGCGCGGGGGGUGCCAUGUCAAUGCAAACCAAAACACAGAAAAUGCAGGCUUCCUUGCACCCACAGAAGUAGCUCUCAGGAAGACUUAUUGCCACUGCAAAGUAAGCCACUGAGAUCAAAAGGCAUCGAUCUCAAACUGUCUGCCCAUCUGAAGCCAUUGCAGAUAGAGUUACCUCAUGUAGCCAGGUACAUUGCUUCUAGGUUCCCCCAAAUCUACCUGCAAAGACCUGGCCAGAGUGCACUGGAGAUGACGUCCUCGUCCUCGUCUACUUCCUCCCCCUGAAACGUGGGCCCUCCUGUCCAGGCUUUCGUCGUUGUAAUGCCAGCCGGAACAUUACUGUCUUGCUCAAGUGUGGAACCCUUGUUUCUGUAUUUUUCCCGUAACUGUGUUCACCAAUUGACGCUGCGUUUUGUAUGUUUUUGUCCCGUAGCUAAAUGAGCUCAUUGUUGGCACCGCUCUCUGAUUCUGAAUUUCUAUGCUUUGUCUUCCAGCUCAUUGACUUUCCUGGUGUGCUCAAAAGGCUUCUUUCUGUCUCCUCUUCUCUUCUCUUCUCUUCUCUUCUCUUCUCUUCUCUUCUCUUCUCUUCUCUUCUCUUCUCUUCUCUUCUCUCCUCUCCUCUGUUCCAUGCCCUAUACCCCUCUCUCCCUGUCGCACCUUCCUUUGAUAAAACCCCUCUUACUUUUUAAUUCCCACUUGUCCUCUCUCAGAUGAAAAUGGAACUUAUCUCUCAUGUCAAAUGUUUUAUCACAUUAUAUCAAGUGGCAUGAAUUAGAAUCAAAUAAUCUUCCUGUGUACAUCUUCUAGCAUGGCCCACAUCCACCGAGAAUGCCUCAUACAUGCAUAAAACUCACCAGUGGGGCCUCCCCUCAUACAUGCAAAAAGUUCACCAGUGGGGCCUCCCCCUCUCUGCAUGCGUGCCUCUAGCAAAGGCCUGAGCCCAGUUAGUCUGGGGGAACUGUUGCCCAUCCAAUAGGCAUUGAAAACAGCUGCAGCAGCACCCUCAGGUCUAUGCCUAGACGUGUAGACUCUGCCCAUCUCCACUGAAUCCAAGUCCAAACUACAAAUUUUCAAGAAGCUUGUGGGUGGCUCUUUUCAAUGCCUAGGUUGCCUUGGUUUUCUGUUUUUCUUUGAUGGUAUCUUCUGGUAUUCAGCUUUAUGGUGUGUGUGUGUGUGUGUGUGUGUGUGUGUGUGUGUGUGUGUGUAUUCCUCUAUGAAUUUGUGUGCAAAUAACCUAUGAUCCCUGAAACUUUAAAACAUCUAGUACAGAAUCUGAAGCUUACUCUCUGAUUUAGCCUGGCUCUUCACUGACAAAUGAUCCACCUUUCUACUACUUUUUUAAAAGUAUAAAUACAAGGAGGAAUUUUUGUUUGAAGGUAUUCCUGCCGAAGGCUGUGAGGCAAAUGGUCUUUUGAGUGGCUCUUUGUAUGGGAAUUGCAAUCAAAUCUUCACUUGGAAGUUAAAAGGGAGCCUUAUCUGGCACAGAUGGGGAAAAUGGACUUCCUAACUAGGAGAACACAAGCACAUUCCAGCCCUCUGGGCUUUAGUGUGAACCGAUAAUUAAAAGAAAUAUUCCUAAUAUACUUUGCAGAAGCAAGUUCUGUUUUGGGGUGUUUGUGGUGGGGAGGUAGUGGUUUUCAAAAAUUCACAAGUAGUAAUAGUCCACUGAGCCAGCAUCUAUGGCAGCAGUAAAUCUCUGAGAAACCACACACACGCACACAUUACACAUACAGAGUUUAAUUUCAGAUUGCCCCAAUUUUCUUUUCCCAAUACAAUCUUUACUCUCCUCCUCUGAGUGGAUGAUUUUGCCACUCUAACCAUGAUAACUCUUCUAUGCAUUUCACCCUAACCUUAUAUAGAGAAAAAAAAAUCACUCUUUUAAAAGCUUAUUCAGACUUGAAUUUCUUGGCCAUUUACUUCCUUAUUCUCCAAAUAACCAGGUCCCCUAAUUUACGGAUUCUAUCGGUGCUAAGCAACCUAACUGUGAUACAAAAAAAAAAAAAAAAAGUUAUUGAAUCUGUCAUGGAUUUAAAACAUUUGUCAUUUAAAAACCCAGAGCUUCUCCAAAGCUUCAUUACCAUGCAGCUUCGGUAAUUUAAUUCAGUACUUACUGUUUUUCUAUAAUCUAGCGGCAAAUCAUCAGAUUACCAACAUGUUUGAUUAUUUUCGGCUUCUGUUUCCUCAAGCAUGGUGUUUACUCCUUUGCAUACAUGCUCUGUUAAACUCUUGUGUCCAGUGAGAUGAACUGGUAACGGGAAUAUCGAAGCAAAAGGGGUCUCAUGAAAGCUGCCAGUCCACAGUUCUUAUUACAGUGAACUAACGCUCUCUACCCCGCUCUCUAAUGAUAGGGUCCUGGGAUGGCUUCCUAAACAAUUGGCAGAAAACUAUUGAGAAAUACUUGUUGAUCUGAGAUAUUUCUCUUCCAAAUUGUUGCAUUUUGAUAAAUGGCAGAAAUGAAUAAUAGCAAAUUAGCAUUUUGAAUGAUGAAAAAAUAUAGAUCUCUGAGAUUGUUUGCGGUUUGGGGGUUGUUGGUUCUGACUGCCGUGUCUCUCCGGUUCUCUUCCUGCUGGCAUCUGUCACUUGAGAAGCAUGUUCUGAGACUCCUUGUUGUGUGUUUCCGUGUUUCCAGUCUUAGCUUUGUUUACCUGAUAAAUCCCCUGAGAUCUUGUUCUUUGGUAUCUUUUUCCACCCUCCCUAUUACUUUGUGCACCCUUGCAGGAAGGCUGGAUGGCUUUUGAUAUAUGUUUGUGAGAAAAAUUUGGAAUUCUAGCUGGUCAUGUAUUGGCUUGUUUGAUGUUGUAACAAGGUUGCUUGCCGGUGAUUUCUGAGCUGGGCUUGUUCUUUUUUUCUCCUCUGCUUCAUCGCUGUAUUUUGGCUGGGAGCGGGGGUUUGUGGGAGAUUGUCAGAGCAGCAGUGCGGGCUCUGUGUGUGAUGCUCUGAAUUGUGUAUUUACUUUAUUAUAUAACUUAAGAGCAGACUUUCCACAUUAAUCUCUACCAUUUUAAAAAAUCAAGCAUUCUGUAGGAUUUUGGAGAAAUGCAUUUAGAUAUAGUACUGCCUAAACAGAUUUUUUUUCCAGUGAAAGUUUCCCUGUUUAGUAACAUAGUUGCUUUAUAUAUUCUUUCUAUAAAGUACCAACAUUAUAUAUUCAAUAAUAUAUCUUUAAGACUGACUUCAUCAAUUUAAAAUAAUAGUCUGAUGAAGACGAAUCCCAGGACCAUUCCCCAUGGUACUUUUAGAUGCCAAACAAACAUUCUUAUCUGCUUUUUUUAUUUUUCAGGGAAAAAGAAUGAAGCACAAUUAUACUGUUUUCACUUGCUGAAAAAUAAGAUUUUAAUAUUUAGACACAAAAUAUUCAGACAUUUAAAUGAAGUGAAUAUCAUAAUAAGUGUAGCAGUGGAUUAAAAUCAUUUCAGAGGAGCUAAAUUUUUAGAGGAAAAUUGCAUUAGUCUAAGAUUCGAGAGGAAGCUUUGCCUCCUUGUCAAUUAUCGAUGCUUUAUAAAGAAAAUAAAAAGCAGAGAUCACAAUAAGCUUUGUGUUCUGAAAGUAGCAGCUAAGGGAGGAUGCUCAGGCUGGAGUAAUAGCUUGCCUUUCCUCCGCCUUUGGUGAUUAGUUCAGCAUCUCCCUCAAAACAAAACAAAACAAAACAAAACAAAGGCGAGAGAGAGAGAGAGAGAGAGAGAGAGAGAGAGAGAGAGAGAAAGGAAGAAAGGGAGAAAGGAAGAAAGAAAGGAAGAAAGAAAGAGAGAGAAGGAAGGAAGAGAAGGAAGGAAGGGAGAGAGAGAGAAAGAAAGAAAGGUGCUUUCUGAAAUUAGACAUCAGAUCAAGAGAAGCACCUAAGAUUUCAAGGUCUAAGCAAAAAUUAAUUUAUUUUCUUUCCUCCUUGUACUUCUUGAAGAUACAGACUGAGAAGAAAAUCGGGAUUAAAAGAGAUGUGCUUAGGGUGAAUUCAUCUGCUUAAACCUCGCAGGCUCAAAGAUGAAUGAUUAAAAAGCCAUCUCAAACUUGGCCGGAGUCCACGCUGCUGGUAAUGCCGCAUCCGCUCCAGCUUUCUCCUGCCGGCCCCGUGUCACUGUGAACCAGACCCAGGAACAUUUGACUAGAGAUGAUACAUGGAUUAUCUAGGUCAAUUAUACACUUAAUCUGCCUUCUGGAGGAUUAAGCAUUUACAGAUAGACUCUGCAUUUGGCUUCUCCCUGGCAGUUAUCAGAUCAGGAAAAGGCCCCUUAUCACACAGCCUUGUGCGAGCUUAAUCAGGCAGUGUGGACAGAUUCAGGGGCUCUGCCGCCUGGCAUUCUCCGCCUUGCACAGAUUCCCAUUUGCUGUUCCAUUUUCAAAUCGAGUAUUUGUUCACUUUACGUGGCAGCACAAUAAUUGGGUGUGAAUAUUUUCCUCUAAAACGGUAAUUUGAAACAUGAACCCUCUGCCUAUUAAAAUAUGCUUCCUGGCUUUAUAUACGAAUCUACUGAUGACCUUGUUUUAAUAGCCGUAUUAAAUUAUAAGGGCCUGGUGCGUGAAUGUAUGUCAAUCAAAAUAGGAACCACGCCGCUGCAGGAAGUAAGGACUGAAGAUGGGAUCCAAGGAGAACGUUGUGUUACUAAAUCUGUAAGGUAGGCCACCAACUUCCAGGUGAGGGAGCUGCUCUGAAAGCAGGCAGCAGGGAAAGGUGAGCAGGUCUCCAGGACAGAGUGUGCCAUCCUAAACCCUGGGAGCCUGAGUUCUCUCUGCUUUAGCAGUAGCCGCCUUGAAUACCCAGUAUCUGGACUUCCAAUGUGAUGAUGACAGGCACUGCUCCUAGACCAUCAGAUCAGAUCUGCAUGACAUUAGAGGUUUUUAAUCUCUUGGAGCCUUGGCUGAUUCAUCUAGGUAACAGGGAUGAUAAUAAGAGGACCUUCCUCGGGGCAUUUCGGGCAUUUCGUUGUUAGGAGAGUGAGAUGUCACCGCCAGGCGCAGCAUCGGCAACUAAGGACUCAUCCGCAAUGGUACAACAGCUCCAUGAACAUCAUCUGCACGUGGCUGACCGACAGGAUGGACCUGCAGCUCCACAUUUACCAGCUGAAAACCCUGAUCAGGAUGGUAAAGAAAACCUAUAGAGAUUUCCGAUUGCAAGGGGUCCUGGAUUCCACCUUAAACAGCAAGACCUAUGAGACCAUCCGAAACCGUCUCACUGUGGAGGAAGCUACAGCGUCAGUGAGUGAGGGUGGGGGCUUACAAGGUAUCAGCAUGAAGGACAGUGAUGAGGAAGAUGAAGAAGAUGAUUAGACCAUUCUCUGGGUCCAAGAGUCCAUUGGGAUGGAGUCCUGUAAUCAAUGCAUGUCUUUAGUCUGUUAGUUAACCCCAUUAGGUAAUUUUCUGUCAACCACCAUCCCCAUGAGAUGUUUACCAAUACAAUUACCAUUUUAGCUGCGUGGUACCAAGAUUAGCAAAUGGUUUCCUGAUUUCUGUGUCUAUAUGUUUACAAGCAAUAUGGAACACCAUUCUUAAACACUGUUCAUGGAAAGAAUACAUAGUUCAGCUGCUAGGUGUGUCCCUUUUGUUAGCAGAACAAAAUGAUGCUUCAUCCUGUACUACAGAUACACGGAUUGGAAGUGGACAUGGAAGCAAGUGUGUUUCCAUGUCUCUGUUUCAUGUAUGUGGGUACCAGGUAUUUAAAUUAGUACAUAAAUUAAUUUAAGUGCAUAGAGCUGCUUGGUUUUGGUCUCUGUUUUGUUCUUGUUUUAUGAGAAGGGGAAAAGGCAUGGUCCCAAAAACCAACUUUAGCUUUUCUCAUCCCCUAAAACUAAAAGCAAUGGACCACUUGUGUCCCAGCAAACCCAGCUUUGCAUUUAUCCAUGUAGUUUAGUUCCCCCUACCAAAAAAGUUACAUAUCAAUGGAUUAAUUAUUUUCAUUGUCAUAGCAAGGGGGCCACGUGAUCAGGAAGUAGCAUCAAGUAAGUUUCAGACCAACUGUCUUCUGUGAAAGUUUAUCCUAGUAAAUGUCACAUUUUGCUUUUCUGUUUCAAUAACUGUAUAUGUAAAAAAAAUUAUUGAAAUGAAAACCCUAGACUAUAAAUGUAUUUAUAAUAAGAUAUGGAUAUUUCCUUCAGUAGACUGUAACCAUAACUUCAAUUAUUUUGUUCCACACUGUUUUUUAUAUCUGUCAUGUACAUUGCACUUUGAUCUGUAACUGAGCGACCCUGGGGUCUGCUAUAGAGCUGUUUCUUUCUGUGGAAAGUAGUGGAUCCAUCUUGCUUUUUGCCUUAUAUAAAAGCCUACAGUUGUAAAAGUGUGGGAAACUGUGGCUCCUCAAUAAAUAAUUAUUCAAAUGUCCUAAGAA
Molecule: RNA transcript, 11421 nt
Organism: Mus musculus (house mouse)
Lineage: Eukaryota; Metazoa; Chordata; Mammalia; Rodentia; Muridae
Gene: Cadps
Gene name: Ca2+-dependent secretion activator
Exons: 35
Source: RefSeq, marked validated